AUUCUGCCCAUGCGGGGAAGGAUGAGAAGCUUCGACCAAGGUUCGACUCGAGCGUCAGCGAGAGAGCGUUGCCGCAGGCAACGACCCGUAGGGCGAAGCGCGCAGCGCUGAGUAAUCCUUCCCCCACCACCA
Molecule: small RNA, 132 nt
Filed under: Escherichia coli
Lineage: Bacteria; Pseudomonadati; Pseudomonadota; Gammaproteobacteria; Enterobacterales; Enterobacteriaceae
Description: RtT sRNA
Rfam family: RtT RNA
About the family: This family represents a bacterial cis-regulatory element known as RtT RNA. The exact function of RtT is unknown although it is thought that it may be involved in changing the cellular response in relation to amino acid starvation.
Source: RNAcentral